UGGGGAAACAUGCCACUCAAAUCAUUAUUAGACAAAUCCAGUACCUGAAGACUCUUAGAAUCGCAUAUGGAUUCAGGAAUAUUGCCUUGAAUGCGAUUUCUUGAUAGAGAAAAGAAGACAGUGGAUGAGAGGUAUUGUCCAAUAGCAGGUAUAAUGGCAGAACUGAAACUGUUGUUGGAGAAGUCCAAAUAGGCAGCAGAUGAAGGAAAGAAUGAGAGUGGCCCUUCAAAUUUGUUGGAAUGAAGGUCAAGAAGAUAGAGACUGGAAGAAAGAUUCUUUGGAGGCCCUUCAAAACCAACAAGAGAGUUGCAAGAAAGAUUUAACUGAUUAAGAUUUUCAAGGCCCCAAAUCCAGAGAGGUAUUUCUCCUUGAAGAUCAUUAUGGGAGAGAUCAAGAGAGUUGAGCUUAGAUUGAUUUUUCAAGAAGCCAGGGAACAUUCUUAAAUUGCAGGAAGCCAAUUUCAAUGUGGUCAUUUGAGGAAAAGAACUUGAGUCAGUGCUUUCCGUUUCAACAGACAGGCUGUUGCUUGAGAGUUCAAGUCUUGUAAUAUUCUUAAGCUGCUUGAAUACGGUUAGAUUCAAUCUUCCGGUAAAAUUGUUGAAAGAAAGUGAGAGAAUCUUCAGACCUUGAAGUUCCAAAAACGACAUUGGGAAUGGCCCUUCUAACCGAUUGCUCUCCAAAUCAAGGGUAUCAAGUAAGAAAGAGGACACGUUGGAGAGCUCAUUUAAACUACCACUAAAUAGAUUGUAGUUCAAUUGAAUCUUCCGGAUUGUUUGAAGAUUGAAGAGAGACGAAGGAACAUUUCCAGUGAUGGAAUUGUUACGCAAAUCAAGAUUAACGAGAUUGGGAAGCUCUUCCCAUUUUGUGGAAAGCAAGGAACCAUUCAACCGAUUAUGAGCAAGGUUUAAGACCGUAAGAUUCUUCAAUUGGGAAAAUGAUGGGACUGGACCAACAAAUUUGUUGCUCGAAAGAUCCAAAUAUGUGAGUUGUGUAAGGUUUAGGAUAGAAUUUGGGAUUGAUCCGCCAAAGUUGCAACUCGCCAAGUCUAAUUUGGUCAAGUUCUCAAAAUAUCCGAUAGAUUCUGGCAGUGUCCCUGAAAAUUUUGUGCCUUGGAGCACUAGAGUUUGAAGGGGUCUACUGGAUGGAAAAUCUGGAAGAGAACCUUGCAGCAACUUAUUAUUGGAUAAGUCCAGAGUCUGAAGAGUUGAUACCUGGAAAAUACUUUGUGGAAAUUCUCCAGAUAAAUUUGAACUACCAAGAUGCAGCGAAGUCAAAGUUGGGAAAUCCGCAUAAUUAUCAGGAACCGGUGAGGAAAAAAUGUUAUUAUCCAGACGAAUAUCUGAUAGAUACCGAAGUUUCGCAAGGGAAGAAUCAAGAGGUCCUGAAAGAGCACAGCCAGAUAAGCUCAGCACUGUCAGAUUUAACAAUGAAGACGAUAAGGCCUUGCACCAUUCCCUUCCUUGUGCCGAUAAGUCUACACCAUUCAAAAUUAGUUCUCCCAAAUUGCUCAAAUUCUGAACAAAAGUCCUCAAAUUUGGGUUCUCAAGCUUCAGUGUAGGAAAUUGAAAGAGAGGCGAGCUAGUAAGAUCGAGGCUAACCAAGCCAGUUAAGUUUGAAAUCUCAAUAGGAAUCUGGCCAUUAAAUCCAGAAUUAGACAUAUUCAACACACUUAAAUUCGAAAGCCUGUUAAAUCCAGAAGGCAUCAGGGAAUUAAACCUGUUGAAACCCAAGUUCAAAGUCCGUAAGAACCGAAGACUGAAAAGACUGCUUGAAUUAUCAAUCCCACCUAAAAUCAACUCCUCGCUCAAAUCAAGAUCGGUAACACAGCCGUCGGUGCAGUUAACACCAUUCCAAUUACAGUAAUCGACCCUUUCAUUCCAGUGAACCAGUUUCUUGGAAAAGGAAGAAUUGUACACGAGAUCAUUCUUCAAUUGAAGCAACAGAGAAUGCUGAUCGUCAGGGCAUCGUCCAGAAACCAAAGAAAUCCCUACGCUAAGGAAAAGAAAGCAGUUGAAAAUCAAAGAAAUGCAUGAAAAGAAAAGAUUUCUCAUCGGGACGGAUUAAUGGAAAGGUCCAUACGGAUAAAGAAUGAGGAUAGGGGUGUGAAUUAGUAAUGGGAAUUAGGAAGUUCAUAAGCCACAAGGUUGACCUUCAGACAUGUGUGGGUUGGGCAAGACCAGAUUGAAAAAUCGGAACGCCAGAAGAGGGAAGAGGGAAGAAAUGAAGAAAAGAGAAAUUAGGGGAAAUUGCACUGAAGAAGGAUGAUGGUGGAGGGAAGGGUCAGCGAUGGGGAAAAUGAGUAUUCAAAGUAAACCGCGUCUAUGUGAACCCAAAUACUCAAUAAUGCAAAAUUUCCGCCGCACAACGCAAUCGAUUUUCUUUUUCGUUCUUACUCCCCGUUGCCUUUCUUUCCUACUCAUUGAUAAUCAAAUAACCAACAACAUAUCUAUCAUAUAUUCUAUACUUCAUCUUCCAUCCAUCUUACUCGUUUCAUCUUUAUAUUUUCAAGUUUUAGCACAUAUCAACAUUGCCACAAGUGAAUUCACCACAUAUAGCUAGAUAAGAACAAAACCUAUUUUUCUUAAUACGUUUCACUUUGCAUGUUUUUGUCAUUUAUUUACAUUCUCACCUUAUUUUAAGAAUAAAUUUGCUAAUAUCCUAUUUUUAUAAUUUUUUUUAAACAAUUGUAUUGUUUUUAAAAUCAAUCCAAAAUCUUAGAAUCUAUAUUUGUUCAUUUAUUUUAUUUUAUAAAUUUUUUUUGGAGAAUAUUAAUUAAUUUCAUAUGGAUUUUCUAUCAAUAUUCCAAUAACAUUAAGACCUCAAUGAUAUAAAUAUUUUAAAAUUUAGAAUAUCAUUCCAUUCAUUUAAAUGAAAUUAACAAGUUAAUUAUUAUUAUUAUUUUAAACUUUAUAACUAUAAGAGUUCAAUUUGGUAUCCAAUUUUUUUUUUAUAUAUAAAAAGACAUAAACAUAACAAUAAAAAUUCUAUCACAUUAACUGUAAUUAUUUAUCAUAUAGCAAUUUACCUUCCUAAUUUGUAAACAUAUAUUUAGUACUAACAAAUUUAUAGAUCUACACAUGUAACUUUCAUCAAAUUUCUUACAAUAAUUUUCACCCAACAAUGAAAUUCUUACAAACUUUAAAAUUUAAGGAUGAAAUUAACACAUUAAGUGAGUGAUUAAAUUGUUAUAAAAUUAAAAAUACAAACACUCAUUACUCUUGUUAGUAAUAGCAAAAAAACCAAACUAUGUUUCUUAACUUAUUUAAAUAACUCUUAUUGGCCUUCUACAAAAGGAAACAAAAUGAAUCUAAUAGGCAUAAAAUUAAAUUUAGGGUCAACAGGUGACUUGACUUUUUUCUUCCUUAAAAAAUAUGCUUUGAAUAGAUCAAAGACCUACCAACGUAUUAUUAUUGUUGUUGUUAUUGUCACGGUUUAGGUUUCAAUUUCCAAUCUGAAAUUUGGUCAAAAACUCCAAAGUAGCUUGUAAAGGUUGCCAACAGUUUUGCAAUUUUUUAUUUCCAAACGGUCAAGUGGCCGGCGAUUUUAGUCGAUUCAGAAUGUUUACCUUCAGCAUUUUUAAGCAUUAUUAUUCCUGUUCAUAUGGUCGCCAUCGCCACGCCAUCUCAUGAAUCUGAUAGUUUUUGGAAAUAUUCAGAAUCAAAAUAUGAACCCCAAUCUAAAAACGAACUUAAGAUUCCAUGUUCCUCCCAACACCCAUUUUCCAUUCCUAAUGAGACUAAACCCUUCUUUUGUUGGUAUUAUUAUGACAUUUUAAAGCCAAAGCUAAAGCUGAGGCCCAUCUCAUCCAUGCUUUCGAUUUUUUCUCCCAUAAGAAAACACCCGCGAUUACGCCCGUGAUAGCUCCUGAUAUGAAUCCAAGUGUAAUUAUUAUGUAUUUCCAUUCAAAUUCGUUUUCUGAAGAUUCCAUUGUAUCUGAAGAUGAUGGUUGAAUUGCAAUUCCACAUUUAUUUGGCAAAGGGUAUCCACAUAAUCCUUCAUUACCAAUAAAGGAAUCUUCAGAAAAUGUUUGGAAUUGGGAGCCAAUGGGAAUCAUACCAACCAACAGAUUGUAGGACAGAUUCAACACAGAUAGAAACGAUAGUCCCGCGAGCUGUAGAGGGAUUUGGCCAGAAAGCAUGUUACUUGAAAGAUCUAAAGAACCCAGCUGACUCAAAUUUCCUAUAGAUGAGGGAAUUUCGCCGGACAGGGAAUUGUGGGACAAGUUGAGAAGAUAAAGCGCCUUGAGUUCUCCGAUUUCUGCAGGUAUAUGGCCAUUGAAGAGAUUGCAUGAGAAGUCAAUGGAAGUGAAGACUGUUAGAAUUUUUGUCAGUUCAACGUCCAGACCUUUGCUUGUAAUAGUUACCGUGUCUUGAUAGUUCACAGCACUGAAUUUGAAGAAAUUAAAACGAAGGUGAUUAGCUCUUGACUUGCUAAAGUCUUCCUCACCCACCAUUGCUUUCCACUUUUCUACGAAUUUUCCAGAUAUCCUACCAUUAAAGUAGUUUCGAGAUAUGUCAACAAUUUGCAGGCUCUUCCAAGUGCCAUUCCUCUCUUGACAUCCAAAUUUACCAUGAAAUUUGUUUGAGUGAAGAACAAGCACACGUAAAGUGGAUAUGCUCUUCAAUGAGCAUGGGAAGAUAUCAUCUAUGGAAUUCUUUCCAAGAUCCAAAACCUCCAAAUAUCGACAAUUUGAUAAAGACUUUGGUACCCGCCCUUCGAUGUUGUUUCCACUUAGAUCAAGAGUCCUCAGACCGCAGUUAGCUGGAAAUGCAUUAGGAAUAGAGCCAUUUAAGGCGUUUUCUCUUAGAUUUAGUACCACAAGAUUAUCAUUCUUCUCAGUUAGACACUGGGGAAACAUGCCACUCAAAUCAUUAUUAGACAAAUCCAGUACCUGAAGACUCUUAGAAUCGCAUAUGGAUUCAGGAAUAUUGCCUUGAAUGCGAUUUCUUGAUAGAGAAAAGAAGACAGUGGAUGAGAGGUAUUGUCCAAUAGCAGGUAUAAUGGCAGAACUGAAACUGUUGUUGGAGAAGUCCAAAUAGGCAGCAGAUGAAGGAAAGAAUGAGAGUGGCCCUUCAAAUUUGUUGGAAUGAAGGUCAAGAAGAUAGAGACUGGAAGAAAGAUUCUUUGGAGGCCCUUCAAAACCAACAAGAGAGUUGCAAGAAAGAUUUAACUGAUCAAGAUUUUCAAGACCCCAAAUCCAGAGAGGUAUUUCUCCUUGAAGAUCAUUAUGGGAGAGAUCAAGAGUGUUGAGCUUAGAUUGAUUUUUCAAGAAGCCAGGAAACAUUCUUAAAUUGCAGGAAGCCAACUUCAAUGUGGUCAUUUGAGGAAAAGAACUUGAGUCAGUGCUUUCCGU
Molecule: long non-coding RNA, 5353 nt
Filed under: Cucumis sativus (cucumber)
Lineage: Eukaryota; Viridiplantae; Streptophyta; Magnoliopsida; Cucurbitales; Cucurbitaceae
Description: long non-coding RNA (CSAT_LNC001208)
Source: RNAcentral